This 24-nucleotide non-coding RNA is filed under the name Mus musculus (house mouse). Lineage: Eukaryota; Metazoa; Chordata; Mammalia; Rodentia; Muridae. The record is from RNAcentral.
UCACGCAUUAUCUCUCCACGAAUC